Molecule: ribosomal RNA, 474 nt
Filed under: Triticum aestivum (bread wheat)
Lineage: Eukaryota; Viridiplantae; Streptophyta; Magnoliopsida; Poales; Poaceae
Description: partial small subunit ribosomal RNA
Source: RNAcentral
AUGGCCUCCACGCCAACGAGCUUCGUGGCCGUGGCGCUCCUCAUGGCCGUCAUGCUCAGCACGUGCCGAGCUGCGCGCCUCCUCGCCGACGUUCCGGCCUUGCCGGAACCGACGCUGCCGACCUUGCCCCCGGUCGUUCCCACGGUCCCUGCCCUGCCAGGCGGCGUCGUGCCGACCGUGCCGACCGUGCCGGAAGUGCCGACAGUGCCGCUGCCAACAGUACCCAGCGGCGUCGUGCCGACCAUCCCGACGGUUCCCACCGUGCCGGAGGUGCCGACGGUGCCCACCGUGCCAGGUGUGCCGGCGGUGCCGCUGCCAACAGUACCCGGCGGCGUAGUGCCGACCGUGCCGACGGUUCCCACCGUGCCAGGCGUCCCGACGGUACCGUUGCCGGCAGUACCCGGCGCCGUCGAGCCAACAGUGCCAACCGUGCCAAGCGUGCCAACUGCCGCCGAUGCCGUCCAUCCCCGGUGA